Pomacea canaliculata is the source of this 334-nucleotide long non-coding RNA. RefSeq lists it as uncharacterized. The transcript is spliced from 3 exons. NCBI's taxonomy places the organism in Eukaryota, Metazoa, Mollusca, Gastropoda, Architaenioglossa, Ampullariidae. The record is from RefSeq and is a predicted model, not a curated record.
AUUGGAGAGGAACCGGAAUAGUCUAUGAACAGAACAGUGCAAAAGAAAAAGUGAUUCAGUAGGCUAGGUGAAUGACAUUACUUACCCAAGUACAUCAUCCAGUCAGUCGUAGCGAAAGCUUCCAGAAAGAACGACGCUGCUGCGGACGCCAUGGCGAUAAGACCAACAGUCACGUGACUGACGUAGUUCUGGAUCACCUGUGUGCACACAGAAUCCCAGGGGAUUGCCAUGGUGAACAAGAGGGUUGAGGAUAACUUUCUCAGGUCGUUGGAGAGUCUCUGGCAUGAAGAAGAACACAAGGAGUGUCGCAAAGAAGAUUAAGGAUACACACAGG